GGUCAGUGAUGAGUACAAGAAGGGUCUGAGUGCACUGGGUUAUUGCACUCCCAUUACCCUUUUGGCUCCCAGCAGUCUCUUUCUACCAUCAUACUCUAGCAAUGCUGUGAUUGGGCAAGAGGCUGCUGACAACUUGCGAUAAGCUCAGAUCCUGUUAUCCACAGUAUAAGGAAACAUGGCACUGACUCAUCCAACAGAACCAAUCAAGGAGUUCUGGGUUUUGGGUUGUGUCUUGUGCAUGAUCUCAAGUUUUCAAGCUGAGACC
Molecule: small nucleolar RNA, 265 nt
Filed under: Sphenodon punctatus (tuatara)
Lineage: Eukaryota; Metazoa; Chordata; Lepidosauria; Sphenodontia; Sphenodontidae
Description: Small Cajal body specific RNA 6 (ENSSPUG00000014583.1)
Rfam family: Small Cajal body specific RNA 6
About the family: U88 is small Cajal body specific RNA (scaRNA). scaRNAs are a novel class of small nuclear RNAs which localise to the Cajal bodies. U88 is found associated with both fibrillarin and Gar1p and co-localises with coilin in Cajal bodies. U88 scaRNA is composed of both an H/ACA box and a C/D box conserved domains domains and is predicted to guide 2'-O-methylation of residue U41 of the U5 snRNA.
Source: Rfam by way of RNAcentral